Long non-coding RNA from Alligator mississippiensis (American alligator), 1104 nucleotides. RefSeq lists it as uncharacterized. NCBI's taxonomy places the organism in Eukaryota, Metazoa, Chordata, Crocodylia, Alligatoridae. The transcript has 2 exons. The record is from RefSeq and is a predicted model, not a curated record.
CCUGGGUGGGAGCACAGGACCUUGAGCUGCUGUUAGUGGAGGGAGGUGGGUGGGGAGUUGGAUCCUGGCAUUUUGGGGAAGGAGGAGGGAUUGGAUGCUCCUUUCACCCCACUUAUCUCAGGGCCCUUUUCUUUCCUACCCGGGGGGCAGACAGCCCGUGUGAUGUUUGCUGAGCUGACCUGCAGGGAGGCUGAUGGACCCAGGGGAUGGGAACGGGGCUGUGUCGGGUUCGCUGCUCUGGGAAGGACGCGCGUUAGAGCAGAGCAGGCGUGAGGACCAGGACUUGCAGGUUGUGCCCUGCUCUGGCUCUUCGAAAGGAGUGCUGUCCAGCAUGCCAUAGUGAGGGGCAUGGUUUGGGGGGACUCCUGGGUCCUGUUUCUAGCUGAGGGAAGGAGGUAGGUGAAAGGGGGUGGGAGGAAGGCUCUGUGGCUCAGGACUCCUGGCUUCUUUUGGGGAUCUGUCACUUCCCCAGAAUGAACCCACAAAUCAUCUGUGCAUUGAGUCAAUCGAUCCCUUGGGUGAUGCUGUCAGCACGUACAUGGAGCGGUGAUCAACGUGAGCCAUGAUGCACGACUGAUCACGCAGACCAGCUGCCAGCUCUGGGUGGUGGAGGAGCAGUCCAUCAGCCACAUCAACGGCGACUUCGACUGCAAGCGGGAGGUGCUGGAGGCCUCGGGCCAGGUCAGCAUUAACUGGCCCCGGGAGUGACCUUGCUGUGGGGAGGCUCCUCGAGGACCUGCCCAUCCCCUCUCAGAGACCUGCCUGCACAGCUUCACGUGCACCCACACCCAGAGGACUCCGUGUAGAGGGGGCAGGGCCGCAGGCAUGGUUGCGGGUUGAACUUUGAAGAUGUGUUUUGGGGGCCUAAUGCAAGACAUGUUAUAUUUUUAGAGCUGUUCUUCUACACCUGCUGCUUUCCCAGGAGAGAGAGACUUAAUUUAUAUGAAUGGGAGGGAGGGGGUUGUACUGGAACGGUCUGUUUUAGGCAGGAGUGAGGGCUGUCCUUGUCCCAUUGCUGGGUUCCCUGCCCCCAGUCUGGAGAAUGACUUGAGCCUUGUUUUGCUUCCACCCAAGAAGAUUAUAUUAAAAUAUAAUAAAGGAAAA